GCCGCUGCUGAUACUGUUGCUGCUGCUGCUGCUGCUGCUGCUGCUGCUGCAGGUCUCUUGCAGAUGUUGAUGUUGCAGUUGCAGUGGCCGUUUCUACUGCUGC
This 103-nucleotide small RNA is filed under the name Drosophila guanche. Lineage: Eukaryota; Metazoa; Arthropoda; Insecta; Diptera; Drosophilidae. The record is from RNAcentral.